Molecule: ribosomal RNA, 626 nt
Filed under: uncultured fungus
Lineage: Eukaryota; Fungi
Description: eukaryotic LSU rRNA
Rfam family: Eukaryotic large subunit ribosomal RNA
Source: RNAcentral
CCCGCUGAACUUAAGCAUAUCAAUAAGCGGAGGGAAAGAAACCAACAGGGAUUGCCUUAGUAACGGCGAGUGAAGCGGCAAAAGCUCAGAUUUGAAAUCUGGUGCCAUAAUGGCAUCUGAGUUGUAAUCUGUAGAGGAGUAUUCGAGUAUGGCUUUGGCUUAAGUUCCUUGGAACAGGGCGUCAAAGAGGGUGAGAACCCCGUUUGCGGCCUUUGUCCUAUGCUAAUGUGAAUCUCCUUCAACGAGUCGAGUUGUUUGGGAAUGCAGCUCUAAAUGGGUGGUAAAUUCCAUCUAAAGCUAAAUACUGGCAAGAGACCGAUAGCGCACAAGUAGAGUGAUCGAAAGAUGAAAAGAUCUCUGAACAGAGAGUUAAAUAGUACGUGAAAUUGUUGAAAGGGAAGCACUUGCUACCAGACACACUUGCAAUUAAUCAACCUCCAUUUUUGGUGGUGCACUUGGUUGUAGGUGGGUCAGCAUCAGUUAUAGCGGUAGGAAAAAGACUGUGGGAAUGUGGCUUCUCCUGGGAAGUGUUAUAGCCCAAAGUGUAAUGCUGCCUGCUGUGACUGAGGACCGCGCUUCGGUGAGGAUGCUGGCAUAAUGGUUGUAAGUGACCCGUCUUGAAACAC